Molecule: ribosomal RNA, 501 nt
Filed under: uncultured bacterium
Lineage: Bacteria
Description: bacterial SSU rRNA
Rfam family: Bacterial small subunit ribosomal RNA
Source: RNAcentral
AGAGUUUGAUCCUGGCUCAGAUUGAACGCUGGCGGCAUGCCUUACACAUGCAAGUCGAACGGUAACGGGCCUUCGGGUGCCGACGAGUGGCGAACGGGUGAGUAAUGCAUCGGAACGUACCUUCAGUGGGGGAUAACGUAGCGAAAGUUACGCUAAUACCGCAUAUUCUGUGAGCAGGAAAGCAGGGGAUCGCAAGACCUUGCGCUGAUUGAGCGGCCGAUGUCAGAUUAGCUAGUUGGUGAGGUAAAGGCUCACCAAGGCGACGAUCUGUAGCGGGUCUGAGAGGAUGAUCCGCCACACUGGAACUGAGACACGGUCCAGACUCCUACGGGAGGCAGCAGUGGGGAAUUUUGGACAAUGGGGGCAACCCUGAUCCAGCCAUGCCGCGUGAGUGAAGAAGGCCUUCGGGUUGUAAAGCUCUUUCGGCCGGGAAGAAAUCGCAUGGGUUAAUACCCUGUGCGGAUGACGGUACCGGCAUAAGAAGCACCGGCUAACUACGUG